Micropterus salmoides (largemouth bass) is the source of this 1648-nucleotide long non-coding RNA. RefSeq lists it as uncharacterized. The transcript has 2 exons. Lineage: Eukaryota; Metazoa; Chordata; Actinopteri; Centrarchiformes; Centrarchidae. The record is from RefSeq and is a predicted model, not a curated record.
GUAUGUUUUCUUUAUGUACUGCGAAGUAGUCACACACAUCCAGAAGCCUCAACAACAAACAACACAAAACAUGAAGCAAAGGUCUGCACACUCUUCCAAACUCUCUGGGCACUUAAUAUUUACCAGAUCCAAAUGUGAAAAAGAUAAAGUCAAAACAAAGAAACCACAUAAAACACCUAACAUGAAAGGCACAUAAUAGGGCAAGUAUUAAACUCUUCUAAAUAAGUCAGAUCCACAUAGAUCAAAAGAAAUGUAUAUCUGACUGGAAGCCGUAAUAUAUUUAAUAUAGCUAGGUCCAGAUAUCACUAGAUAGUGUGCUUUUCACAGCCUGUGAGGCGGUUAUGUAUUUUAUAUGGUUUCUUGACUUUACUGUAUUUCUGUAUUUCAAGUGUUCUUACCACUGGAUAGAGUUAGGUGGAUUUCUAUUUUUACUAUUCCGGUGCAGUUUAGAAUCUCAAACCAGUUUAAUUUGAAGUAACCGGUGGAACCAGCUCUUCUGUUUAUUUCUUGUCAUCGUUCAGUGUCACUUUGGAGAGCAUCUGCUGCGUUCAAUGUGACACCUAAAGGUUCGGUUUGGUGUUUGGCUGAAUAUCAAACCAGUUUGAACCGACCCACUCCUACCACUGGAUCAUGUCCUAGUAUGUGACCAGAGUAUUAACAAUGGCAUCUUUAUAUCCGUCUUCUAGUCUAGGGAAGAGCAGUAGCUUGAACUUUCACUUACGGUUGUCCAAUAAAUUCAUCUAAAUUGGGCUACCUUUGUUCCAUGUUCCAUUUAUUUUUUACACAAGUUCAAGUGCAAGUUCAAAUGUACUGUACCCACUUGAAGAUAAUUUUAUGUUUUCUUUUAACAGAAUAGAACGUUUGUGGCGAGAUGUUUGGAUGACUGUUUCCAAUGUGCACUACGAGAUUCUUCACAGCCUUGAGGACGAAGGUGUUCUAGAUCCUUCUGACAGCAUCCAUCUUUUCUGUGCCCAGCAUGUGUUUCUUCCACGUCUGCAGAGGGAUCUCGAUGUCUUCAGGGUGGGGUGGGAUAAUCACCCUCUGAGAACAGAGCAGAAUCUGUCCCCGCAACAACUGUGGAUGAUGGGGCUCCUCCUGAAUCCUGUUGAUGCUCCAGACCUGACAGAGGAAAUUGAGGAUGCAGAUCUUCAUUUCAACACUGCCAGCGAGCAAGACGUGAGCAGUCCUGGAGUGAUUCUUCCGCCCAUUGAAUGUCCUCUCUCUGAGCAGGACAUGACAGGCUUAAGGAACACUAUUGAUGUUACAGGACCAUCAGAUUCCUAUGGGCGAGACAUUUAUUUGGCUGUAUUGAACUACGUGCUAAAUCAUGUACCGUAGAUGCAGGAAUUUUGUUUCAAAAACCAGCUUAACACUAAUGUGUUACACAAAGUGUACAUUGAACUUGUUUUAAAUGUUUAUUGUUACUGACAGCAGUGAAGCUACAUGGUACAAACAUUCUUUAACUGCUUCUCAGAGUGCUGGGCUGCAACUUGUGAGUGAGACAACAUGAUGCCAAUUAGCCAGACAUCUAGAUGAGAUGUAAACUAAUUACUUUUAUGAAAUCUUGUUGCAAGAUUACCUUCUUAACCUUAACAUGUUUGCAUGAAAUGCUCAACAGUACUGCUAUUAAACAAUAAUUUAAUGUUUA